CCUACGUGAGGCAGCAGUGGGGAAUAUUGCGCAAUGGACGAAAGUCUGACCCAGCAACGCCGCGUGAGGGAAGAAGGCUUUCGGGUUGUAAACUUCUUUUAGGGGGGAAGAGCAGAAGCCGGUACCCCUUGAAUAAGCCCCGGCUAACUCCGUGCCAGCAGCCGCGGUAAUACGUAGGUGGCAACCGUUGUCCGGAUUUACUGGGGGUAAAGGGCGUGCAGCCGGUAAGACAAGUCAGAUGUGGAAUCCUGCGGCUCAACCGCGGAACUGCAUUUGAAACUGUUUUGCUUGAGUAUCGGAUAGGGAAGCGGAAUUCCUAGUGUAGCGGGGAAAUGCGUAGAUAUUAGGAAGAAAACCAGUGGCGAAGGCGGACUACUGGACGACAACUGACGGUGAGGCGCGAAAGCGUGGGGAGCAAACAGGAUUAGAUACCCCGGUAGUC
This 442-nucleotide ribosomal RNA is filed under the name uncultured bacterium. RNAcentral describes it as "partial 16S ribosomal RNA". It matches the Rfam family "Bacterial small subunit ribosomal RNA", at positions 338 to 795 of the family's 1533-position model. The record is from RNAcentral.